UAAGCGGAGGAAAAGAAACUAACAAGGAUUCCCCUAGUAACUGCGAGUGAAGCGGGAAAAGCUCAAAUUUAAAAUCUGGCGGUCUUUGGCCGUCCGAGUUGUAAUUUAGAGAAGCGUCUUNCGCGCUGGACCGUGCACAAGUCUCCUGGAAUGGAGCGUCAUAGAGGGCGAGAAUCCCGUCUUUGGCACGGAUGCCUGGUGCUUCUGUGAUGCGCUCUCGAAGAGUCGAGUUGUUUGGGAAUGCAGCUCAAAAUGGGUGGUGAACUCCAUCUAAAGCUAAAUAUUGGCGAGAGACCGAUAGCGAACAAGUACCGUGAGGGAAAGAUGAAAAGCACUUUGGAAAGAGAGUGAAAUAGUACGUGAAAUUGUUGAAAGGGAAACGCUUGAAGUCAGUCGCGUCGACCGAGACUCAGCCUUGCCUUGGCUUGGUGUACUUCUCGGCCCGACGGGUCAGCAUCAAUUUUGCCCCUCGGAUAAUGGCAAGGGAAAGGUGGCACCUUUACGGGUGUGUUAUAGUCUCCUGUCGAAUGCGAGGGGUGGGAUUGAGGAACUCAGCGCGCACCUCAGUGUCGGGGCUUCGGCCCACGUCACGCGCUUAGGAUGCUGGCGUAAUGGCUUUAAACGACC
This 627-nucleotide ribosomal RNA is filed under the name uncultured Russulaceae. RNAcentral's name for it is "LSU rRNA". It matches the Rfam family "Eukaryotic large subunit ribosomal RNA", at positions 47 to 649 of the family's 3401-position model. Lineage: Eukaryota; Fungi; Basidiomycota; Agaricomycetes; Russulales; Russulaceae. The record is from RNAcentral.